AAGAAAGUGGCAGAGUGGUUAUGUGCCUGGCUUGAAACUAGGCUAUGGAGGUUCAAUUCCUUCCUUUCUCG
This 71-nucleotide transfer RNA is filed under the name Platydoras armatulus. Its description in RNAcentral is "tRNA-Ser". It matches the Rfam family "tRNA". Rfam says of the family: Transfer RNA (tRNA) molecules are approximately 80 nucleotides in length. Their secondary structure includes four short double-helical elements and three loops (D, anti-codon, and T loops). The record is from RNAcentral. Lineage: Eukaryota; Metazoa; Chordata; Actinopteri; Siluriformes; Doradidae.